This is a non-coding RNA of Acanthosepion pharaonis, 102 nucleotides long. NCBI's taxonomy places the organism in Eukaryota, Metazoa, Mollusca, Cephalopoda, Sepiida, Sepiidae. The record is from the annotation of a GenBank genome assembly.
UUACGGCCACAUCACGUUGAAACAUCGGUUCCCGAACGAUCACCGAAGUUAAGCAACGUCGAGUCUGGUCUGUAUCUUGAUGGGCAACCGCUUGGGAAACCU